UAGAGUUUGAUCCUGGCUCAGAGCGAACGCUGGCGGCAGGCUUAACACAUGCAAGUCGAGCGGGCGCAGCAAUGCGUCAGCGGCAGACGGGAGAGUAACACGUGGGAACGCGCCCUUCGGUUCGGAAUAACUCAGGGAAACUUGAGCUAAUACCGGAUACGCCCUAACGGGGAAAGAUUUAUCGCCGAAGGAACGGCCCGCGUCUGAUUAGCUAGUUGGUGGGGUAAUGGCCCACCAAGGCGACGAUCAGUAGCUGGUCUGAGAGGAUGAUCAGCCUCACUGGGACUGAGACACGGCCCAGACUCCUACGGGAGGCAGCAGUGGGGAAUCUUGCGCAAUGCGCGAAAGCGUGACGCAGCAACGCCGCGUGGGGGAAGACGGCCUUCGGGUUGUAAACCCCUUUCAGGAGGGACGAAGGUUCACCGGUUAACAGCCGUGUGGAUUGACGGUACCUCCAGAAGAAGCUCCGGCUAACUACGUGCCAGCAGCCGCGGUA
Molecule: ribosomal RNA, 496 nt
Filed under: uncultured bacterium
Lineage: Bacteria
Description: bacterial SSU rRNA
Rfam family: Bacterial small subunit ribosomal RNA
Source: RNAcentral